GGGGAUGUAGCUUAGUAGUUGAGUGCUUGCCUAGAAUGUAUGAGGCCCUGGGUUCAAUUCCCAGCAACACAA
RNAcentral lists this transfer RNA (72 nucleotides) under Marmota marmota marmota (Alpine marmot). It matches the Rfam family "tRNA". Rfam says of the family: Transfer RNA (tRNA) molecules are approximately 80 nucleotides in length. Their secondary structure includes four short double-helical elements and three loops (D, anti-codon, and T loops). Further hydrogen bonds mediate the characteristic L-shaped molecular structure. tRNAs have two regions of fundamental functional importance: the anti-codon, which is responsible for specific mRNA codon recognition, and the 3' end, to which the tRNAs corresponding amino acid is attached (by aminoacyl-tRNA synthetases). tRNAs cope with the degeneracy of the genetic code in two manners: having more than one tRNA (with a specific anti-codon) for a particular amino acid; and 'wobble' base-pairing, i.e. permitting non-standard base-pairing at the 3rd anti-codon position. The record is from Rfam by way of RNAcentral. Lineage: Eukaryota; Metazoa; Chordata; Mammalia; Rodentia; Sciuridae. RNAcentral also lists the same sequence under 2 other names.